This 386-nucleotide transfer-messenger RNA is filed under the name Helicobacter pylori. It matches the Rfam family "transfer-messenger RNA". From Rfam's summary of the family: Bacterial tmRNA, also known as 10Sa RNA or SsrA, is named for its dual tRNA and mRNA-like properties. Lineage: Bacteria; Pseudomonadati; Campylobacterota; Epsilonproteobacteria; Campylobacterales; Helicobacteraceae. The record is from RNAcentral. RNAcentral also lists the same sequence under 1 other name.
GGGGCUGACUUGGAUUUCGACAGAUUUCUUGUCGCACAGAUGGCAUGCCAAGCGCUACUUGUAAAACAGCAACAAAAAUAACUGUAAACAACACAGAUUACGCUCCAGCUUACGCUAAAGCUGCGUGAGUUAAUCUCCUUUUGGAGCUGGACUGAUUAGAAUUUCUAGCGUUUUAAUCACUCCAUAACCUUAAGCUAGACGCUUUUAAAAGGUGGUUCGCCUUUUAAACUAAGAAACAAGAACUCUUGAAACUACCUCAAGGUUUUAGAAAGUUGGACCAGAGCUAGUUUUAAGGCUAAAAAACCAACCAAUUUUCUAAGCAUUGUAGAAGUUUGUGUUUAGGGCAAGAUUUUUGGACUGGGGUUCGAUUCCCCACAGCUCCACCA